CUAUGCGCCUUGCCAGCCCGCUCAGGUGUGCCAGCAGCCGCGGUAAUACGUAGGGGCGAGCGUUAUCCGGAUUCACUGGGUGUAAAGGGAGCGUAGACGGCCAUGCAAGCCAGGGGUGAAAGCCCGGGGCCAACCCCGGGACUGCCCUUGGAACUGCAUGGCUGGAGUGCGGGAGGGGCAGGCGGAAUUCCUGGUGUAGCGGUGAAAUGCGUAGAUAUCAGGAGGAACACCGGCGGCGAAGGCGGCCUGCUGGACUGCGACUGACGUUGAGGCUCGAAAGCGUGGGGAGCAAACAGG
This 297-nucleotide ribosomal RNA is filed under the name uncultured bacterium. RNAcentral's name for it is "partial 16S ribosomal RNA". It matches the Rfam family "Bacterial small subunit ribosomal RNA", at positions 475 to 776 of the family's 1533-position model. The record is from RNAcentral.